AUGCCAAGAAUCAAGAUGUGAUCAGAAGUCAGUAAGUCAAGCCAAGCAUUAACAGGUUUUGGUGUGUUCUAGCAGUCCUAAGUGAACACGCAGAAAACAGAAAUUCAAGCUGAAACAAUAAAACACUCGACAAACACAACUCGUUGUAGAGCACUGGGUGUGGUCUAGUGACAGGUCAAGUAACAGACAGUAAAUGAAACAAAGACACUCGACUGCACAGUCUGUUGUCAGACAACUAGUUGGUCGAGUAUCAGAUCGAGUAACAGGAGAGAAAUGCAAAAACUAAGCAACAGGUAACA
RNAcentral lists this small RNA (299 nucleotides) under Arabidopsis thaliana (thale cress). Its description in RNAcentral is "ATSL201450". The record is from RNAcentral. Lineage: Eukaryota; Viridiplantae; Streptophyta; Magnoliopsida; Brassicales; Brassicaceae.